This 296-nucleotide unclassified non-coding RNA is filed under the name Hevea brasiliensis (rubber tree). Lineage: Eukaryota; Viridiplantae; Streptophyta; Magnoliopsida; Malpighiales; Euphorbiaceae. The record is from RNAcentral.
GAUUUCACGGAUACUUUGUGCAAAAUCUGGUGGUUAUCUCACUUUUGGCACCCUUGAGUCAGGAAUAGUUUCAGCUCCUGGUCAACCAACAAUAAAGGAUCUGCUGGAUCUAUACAAUUUCAGGCAAAUUGGACCCGAUACAAAAGUACAUGGCAUUAUCGGGAAGCCUAUUGGCCAUAGCAAAUCACCUUUUCUAUAUAAUGAAGCAUUCAAGUCAAUUGGCUUCAAUGGGGUGUUUGUGCAUUUGUUAGUGGAUGACAUUGCCAAAUUUUUCCAGACUUUCUCAUCCACAGAUU